Molecule: ribosomal RNA, 442 nt
Filed under: uncultured bacterium
Lineage: Bacteria
Description: partial 16S ribosomal RNA
Rfam family: Bacterial small subunit ribosomal RNA
Source: RNAcentral
CCUACGGGUGGCAGCAGUGGGGAAUAUUGCACAAUGGGCGCAAGCCUGAUGCAGCAACGCCGCGUGAGCGAAGAAGGUCUUCGGAUCGUAAAGCUCUGUCCUUGAGGAAGAAGGAAGUGACGGUACUCAAGGAGGAAGCCCCGGCUAACUACGUGCCAGCAGCCGCGGUAAUACGUAGGGGGCAAGCGUUAUCCGGAAUUAUUGGGCGUAAAGAGUACGUAGGUGGUUUUGUAAGCUCGGGGUGAAAGGCAGGGGCUUAACCAUUGUAAGCCUUGCGAACUGCAAGGCUUGAGUGCAGGAGGGGGAAGCGGAAUUCCUAGUGUAGCGGUGGAAUGCUUAGAUAUUAGGAAGAACACCAGUGGCGAAGGCAGCUUUCCGGACUGGAACUGACGCUGAGGUACGAAAGCGUGGGGAGCGAACAGGAUUAGAUACCCGUGUAGUC